GACGAACGCUGGCGGCGUGCCUAAUACAUGCAAGUCGAGCGAAGUUUUUCUGGUGCUUGCACUAGAAAAACUUAGCGGCGAACGGUUGAGUAACACGUAAAGAACCUGCCUCAUAGACUGGGACAACUAUUGGAAACGAUAGCUAAUACCGGAUAACAGUAUUUCUCGCAUGAGAGAUAUUUAAAAGUUGGUUAUGCUAACACUAUGAGAUGGCUUUGCGGUGCAUUAGCUAGUUGGUGGGGUAAAGGCCCACCAAGGCGACGAUGCAUAGCCGACCUGAGAGGGUGAUCGGCCACACUGGGACUGAGACACGGCCCAGACUCCUACGGGAGGCAGCAGUAGGGAAUCUUCCGCAAUGGGCGAAAGCCUGACGGAGCAACGCCGCGUGAGUGAAGAAGGAUUUCGGUUCGUAAAGCUCUGUUGUUAGGGAAGAAUGGAUAUGUAGUAACUAUACAUGUAAGAGACGGUACCUAACCAGAAAGCCACGGCUAACUACGUG
Molecule: ribosomal RNA, 499 nt
Filed under: uncultured bacterium
Lineage: Bacteria
Description: partial 16S ribosomal RNA
Rfam family: Bacterial small subunit ribosomal RNA
Source: RNAcentral